UAAACAUUUGAUGCUUUUAUAAACCUUAUUCUGUCAUUCGUUUAACAAUAGGCAAAGCAACAUAUUAUUUAGCAUCUGAUGCUUAAAAACAAAGAAUAAAUAAUAUUAGACAGCGAGCAAAAUUGAUGAGAGUAAAUUACAGAAAUGCAACAGUUAGAAUUAGAGAUUAGAAAAUCAGAAAUUAGGCAAAAAGGAUGAUAGAACACAAAAUUUUAGAUUUAUUAUUUGAAACAGAAUGAAUAUAAUGUGACUAUUGUUCUAGAUUGUUAGAAAACACACUGCAAAUAAUCAAAAGAAUUAGAAAGAGGGUUAGAAAACGCAGGCCUGAGAAGGGGUAAUCGUGUGAUCACUGCCCUAGAACAAUAGUCGCCGCCUUCGCAGAGACGAUUUGAUGCAACUACGUCUAGCGGUAAGAACCCCCCGAGAAAGCCGACACCAAAGUUUACUGCGAAACUUUGAUCUCUUGCUCAAUGGAUGUUUGCCCAAAAUUAAAA
This is a long non-coding RNA of Asparagus officinalis (garden asparagus), 494 nucleotides long. RefSeq lists it as uncharacterized. Lineage: Eukaryota; Viridiplantae; Streptophyta; Magnoliopsida; Asparagales; Asparagaceae. The record is from RefSeq and is a predicted model, not a curated record. The transcript is spliced from 2 exons.